RNAcentral lists this small RNA (117 nucleotides) under Salmonella enterica. RNAcentral describes it as "partial RtT sRNA". It matches the Rfam family "RtT RNA", at positions 1 to 116 of the family's 130-position model. Rfam says of the family: This family represents a bacterial cis-regulatory element known as RtT RNA. The exact function of RtT is unknown although it is thought that it may be involved in changing the cellular response in relation to amino acid starvation. The record is from RNAcentral. Lineage: Bacteria; Pseudomonadati; Pseudomonadota; Gammaproteobacteria; Enterobacterales; Enterobacteriaceae.
UAUCUCUCCGUACGGGGAAGGAUGAGAAGCUUCGACCAAGGUUCGAUUCGAGCGCAGCGAGAAAGCGUUGCCGCAGGCAACGACCCGAAGGGCGAAGCGCGCAGCGCUGAGUCAUCC